AACAUGUCUAUCCACUGCUGCUUGGCG
Molecule: unclassified non-coding RNA, 27 nt
Filed under: Mus musculus (house mouse)
Lineage: Eukaryota; Metazoa; Chordata; Mammalia; Rodentia; Muridae
Description: oocyte_clustered_small_RNA4722
Source: RNAcentral